This 306-nucleotide ribosomal RNA is filed under the name uncultured bacterium. Its description in RNAcentral is "partial 16S ribosomal RNA". It matches the Rfam family "Bacterial small subunit ribosomal RNA", at positions 507 to 807 of the family's 1533-position model. The record is from RNAcentral.
GACAGCAGUCGCCGCGGGAAUACGGAGGGUGCAAGCGUUAAUCGGAAUUACUGGGCGUAAAGCGCACGCAGGCGGUCUGACAAGUCAGAUGUGAAAUCCCCGGGCUUAACCUGGGAACUGCAUUUGAAACUGUCAGGCUGGAGUCUUGUAGAGGGGGGUAGAAUUCCAGGUGUAGCGGUGAAAUGCGUAGAGAUCUGGAGGAAUACCGGUGGCGAAGGCGGCCCCCUGGACAAAGACUGACGCUCAGGUGCGAAAGCGUGGGGAGCAAACAGGAUUAGAUACCCCAGUAGUCCCUGUCUCUUAUAC